Molecule: unclassified non-coding RNA, 387 nt
Filed under: soil metagenome
Description: partial contains 5.8S ribosomal RNA, internal transcribed spacer 2, and large subunit ribosomal RNA
Rfam family: 5.8S ribosomal RNA (bases 1-120)
Source: RNAcentral
GAUGAAGAACGUAGCGAAAUGCGAUAAGUAAUGUGAAUUGCAGAAUUCAGUGAAUCAUCGAAUCUUUGAACGCACAUUGCGCCCAUUAGUAUACUAGUGGGCAUGCCUGUUCGAGCGUCAUUAAUUCCACUUAAGCCCUGCUUAGUGUUGGGAAUCUACUCUAGUGGUGCUACCCUGGAGCUACCCCUGAAAGGGGGCUGGCCCGGUAGCUACCCUGUAGUUCCUCAAAGAUAGUGCGCGGAGUUGCGUGGUCCUCUGAGCUUAGUAACUAUACACCUAGCUUUUGAGUGUCCCGCGGCGCCUGCCGUUUAAACCCCAUCUUUUAAUGGUUGACCUCGGAUCAGGUAGGAAUACCCGCUGAACUUAAGCAUAUCAAUAAGCGGAGGA